UCUGAGGAAGGCGGAAGAUUCACGCUGAAACUGUUAACAAGGUUUACCGUCCAAACGAGCUCACAUGGGAUUACCUUUCACAGGUUUCCCAAAAAUAAAGACAUGAAAAAGCAGUGGGAGACAGCUGUGCGACGGGAAGGGUUUUUUGCUACUCUGUCAUCCAUGCUCUGCAGUGAACACUUCAGAACGGAGGAUUUUGGCAGAACAGGUCAGACAGUCAGGAUCAGAGAGGGAGCUGUUCCUUCAGUCUUCAGUUUCCCAGCUCAUCUCCACCGGCAUACAAGAGUCAAGGAUGGAAAUACUAUCCACUCAGAAAUGUAUUUUAAAAUAAAGGUUCUGCGUAUCUCCUUUAAACACUGAGACUGCCAGACUUUGGAAGAGGAGGUGGCCAAAAUGCUACGUGACAGUGUUAUUGUCAUCAACCUUGGCCCAGCCCUUGGUCCAGCCCCGUCCUCACAGUCCUGAAGCCAGAGUCUCCAGAUCUCCAAAGGCUCAUGCAUGUCAUUCUCCACCCCCACUGUCAGUUCGUCACUGCCUAUCUGGAUGACAUCUUCAUUCAUACCAAAACCUACUGCCUACUUGUGCCAUGCCCAUGUGAAACCACCUGCAUUACUCAUCCUACAGCCAAUCUGCAUGGUCUCUCACUGCUCCCCUUUCACCAUCCCCUCCUGAAAGUGAAUAAAAAAACACCUUAAACUACCAGACUGCCUGGGUCCAUGUUAGUGUUCACAGUGGACAAUCUGUGUGAGAGAGAGAGACCAUGGUGAGAGACCAUGCAGAUUGGCUGUCAUAGCAGCAGGACACUACAAUGACUUAUAGUCUAUAAAAUCAUAAUCAAAUGGCUAUAACUAGAUUUUUGCUUCUGAAAACAGAAAACCUGAGAACAAUAAAUUCUAAAAGAAAUACAACAUCAUCACAAACAGAUCAUUCCAAGGCAUGUGGUACAGUAAACAACUGAAGAUAAGACAAUGUCUAUGGAUGAUUGGGAAUUAGAAUUUCUGGCUGAGGGUAAGGUGGCUUGAGUCGGCCCCCUCCACCUUGAUGUCUGUCUGAGAUCUUGCAAAAGAAUAAAAGACAGGAAAACAUAAAUGAACAAAAUGGAACAGAUGCAGAUUGUAAUUUUUUUGCUUUACUCACUGAUUGAGGAGGGGACAUAAAAGGUUUGAAGACAAGCUAUAGCCAACAUUUAACCCAAAGCAAAUCCUACACCUAACCUAAUAUUAACCAUAGCAAAGUUCUAACUCUAUGGACUUGUUAGUGAACUGAAUGAGAACAAGACUCAAUUCAUUAUGACAUAAGAAUAUACAGGUUUUCCUUGCUACCAUUGCUUCUGGCUUGCUCAUUAGGGAUAAAUUUAUCAUUUGUAUCCAGAUUCCUGUAACGCUGCUUUGUGACA
This is a long non-coding RNA of Neoarius graeffei (lesser salmon catfish), 1396 nucleotides long. RefSeq lists it as uncharacterized. The record is from RefSeq and is a predicted model, not a curated record. The transcript has 4 exons. NCBI's taxonomy places the organism in Eukaryota, Metazoa, Chordata, Actinopteri, Siluriformes, Ariidae.